RNAcentral lists this unclassified non-coding RNA (599 nucleotides) under Zea mays. Its description in RNAcentral is "misc RNA Zm00001eb327630". Lineage: Eukaryota; Viridiplantae; Streptophyta; Magnoliopsida; Poales; Poaceae. The record is from RNAcentral.
GCUACCACAAAUAUGAACCAUUUUACCUUGCAUCAAUCUCAUAUUUGCAACCACACGAUGGAUGGUGGGGCACUGCGGCCAAAUAUCUGGUGCAUAUUUCUAUUUCUAUAUAUUAAACCAGGACCCGAUCUUCCCAAAUCAAGGUGGACACGUCGUCCAAAAUUUGGAAGUCCGGACACGUCGUCUAAAAUUUGGAAGCCAUCGGAUUGUUUCUCCAUGACGAGAUUCUACCGUCUAGCUAUUGCACCAGUCAUACAAUCCCCAAAGCCUCCAGAAGUUUCUGGCCAUUACUCCCAGCCACGGAUCGAGCGUUUUCUAUUCCGACUUCUUCCUUCUGAAAGGUAGCACUCAUUCUUUCUUCUGAAAGGUAGCACUCAUUCUUUCUCUCUCUAUCUCCAUCUCUCAUUCGUGCCAUGCGCUGCCAUUUCCCCUUCCUCGCACGCUCCGUCCAGUCGUUGGCGUGCCACCUGUUUUCACCGUCCAUCCCUCCGUCCCCUACGCUACCAUUUUCUUAGUAGGUUGUCGGGCCGUGCUCGUUAUACAUAAAAGUUGCCAUACCUAAGUAGGCACAUCGAUAAUUAAAAUUAAAUUAAAAUUAU